AGCAGCCGCGGUAACACCAGCGUCACGAGUGGCGUACACAUUUAUUGGGCCUAAAGCGUCCGUAGCCGGUUUGGUAAAUCUUUUGUGAAAUCAUGGGGCUUAACUCCAUGGCGUGCAGAAGACACUGCCUGACUUGGAACCGGGAGGAGUCUGAGGUAUUCUGGGGGGAGCGGUAAAAUGUUAUAAUCCCCGGAGGACCACCUGUGGCGAAGGCGUCAGACUAGAACGGAUUCGACGGUGAGGGACGAAGGCCAGGGGAGCGAACCGGAUUAGAUACCCGAGUAGUCCUGGCAGUAAACGCUGCGAGCUAGGUGUUGCACAUUCUCCGUGAGUGUGCAGUGCCGAAGUGAAGAUGUUAAGCUCGCCGCCUGGGAAGUAUGGUCGCAAGACUGAAACUUAAAGGAAUUGGCGGGGGAGCACUACAAGGGGUGCGGCGUGCGGUUUAAUCUAAUUCAACGCAGAAAAUCUCACCAGAAGCGACGGCAGGAUGAAAGUCAGUCUGAAGGGCUUACUUGACGAGCCGAGAGGUAGUGCAUGGCCGCCGUCAGCUCGUGCCGUGAGGUGUCCUGUUAAGUCAGGCAACGAGCGAGACCUGCGCCUACAAUUGCCAGCGGGUAAUUUAUUACGACUGGGCACAUUGUAGGGACUGCCUUGGAAACAAGGAGGAAGGUGCAGGCUACGGUAGGUCUGUAUGCUCCGAAUCUUCUGGGCUACACGCGCGCAACAAUGGUACGGACAAUAGGAUGCGACUCCGAAAGGAGAAGCCAACCCCCGAAACCGUAUCCAAGUACAGAUUGAGGGCUGUAACCCGCCCUCAUGACGAUGGAAUCCCUAGUAAUCGGAAUUCAACACGUUCCGGUGAAUAUGUCCCUGCUCCU
Molecule: ribosomal RNA, 878 nt
Filed under: uncultured euryarchaeote
Lineage: Archaea; Methanobacteriati; Methanobacteriota
Description: bacterial SSU rRNA
Rfam family: Archaeal small subunit ribosomal RNA
Source: RNAcentral